UGAAAAUGUAAUUUAAUCAGAAGCCACUGCCAGAUUUCUGGAUAGGGCUGCGCUCAGAGUAUCCUGCCUUGGCAAAUCCUGCUGUUAAGACACUGAAGCCCUUUUAUAUUAUUUGUGCACAUACAGUGGGGCAAAAAAGUAUUUAGUCAGCCACCAAUCGUGCAAGUUCUCCCACUUAAAAAGACGAGGCCUGUAAUUUUCAUCAUAGGUACACUUCAACUAUGACAGACAAAAUUAGAAAAAAAAUCCAGAAAAUCACAUUGUAGGAUUUUUAAUGAAUUCAUUUGCAAAUUAUGGUGGAAAAUAAGUAUUUGGUCACCUACAAACAAGCAAGAUUUCUGGCUCUCACAGACCUGUAACUUCUUCUUUAAGAGGCUCCUCUGUCCUCCACUCGUUACCUGUAUUAAUUUUUUUGCCCCACUGUACCUAUGUGAGAGUGGAUUCUCGGCCCUCAUUAGCAUGAAAACUAAAUAGAGACACAGACUGUGUGUGGAAAAUGAUUUAAGACAGACUCUCCAAUACAACCCAACAUUAAUAUGUGGUGAGCUAUUCACCAUUUUCAAUGAACAAAUAGGGUUUUAUAUGUAAGAUGGUUAAAUAAAGAGUUAAAUUGAUUAUUAUUAUUUGUGCCCUGGUCUGAUAAGAGCUCUUUUCUCACUUCCCACGAGUCGGGUUGUGACGAAUUCAGGUUGAAUAGAGGGGGUACUCAGCUGGAGGUUGAAUAGAGGGGGUAGGCAGCUGGAGGUUGAAUAGAGGGGGUAGGCAGCUGGAGAUUGAAUAGAGGGGGUAGGCAGUGGAGAACCUGUCAGAGCAGGGUUGGAGGAGAGGACCUCUGCUGUUCUGUGUCUCUACUGGUCCUAGUGGAGAACCUGUCAGAGCAGGGUUGGAGGAGAGGACCACUGCUGUUCUGUGUCUCUACUGGUCCUAGUGGAGAACCUGUCAGAGCAGGGUUGGAGGAGAGGACCACUGCUGUUCUGUGUCUCUACUGGUCCUAGUGGAGAACCUGUCAGACCACUGCUGUUCUGUGUCUCUACUGGUCCUAGUGGAGAACCUGUCAGAGCAGGAAAUCAUGAGGAAGAGCUCCUAGCCCUGUUUAUACCUGGUUCUAACUUGCAUCCUUUGUCCUGAUCUUGUCCACAUUUUUAGACCCGGUGAAGACAGUCAGAUCAUCCUGCCCCCCUCUGGAGGUCGUCAGAUGCAUCUUUAGACAGAUCAGAACAUUAUGCAGC
This is a long non-coding RNA of Oncorhynchus tshawytscha (Chinook salmon), 1229 nucleotides long. The record is from Ensembl. Lineage: Eukaryota; Metazoa; Chordata; Actinopteri; Salmoniformes; Salmonidae.